This 447-nucleotide ribosomal RNA is filed under the name uncultured bacterium. Its description in RNAcentral is "SSU rRNA". It matches the Rfam family "Bacterial small subunit ribosomal RNA", at positions 26 to 518 of the family's 1533-position model. The record is from RNAcentral.
AGAGCGAACGCUGGCGGCAGGCUUAACACAUGCAAGUCGAGCGCCCGUAGCAAUACGGGAGCGGCAGACGGGAGAGUAACACGUGGGAACGCGCCCUUCGGUUCGGAAUAACUCAGGGAAACUUGAGCUAAUACCGAAUACGCCCUUACGGGGAAAGAUUUAUUGCCGAAGGAACGGCCCGCGUCGGAUUAGCUAGUUGGUGAGGUAACGGCUCACCAAGGCGACGAUCCGUAGCUGGUCUGAGAGGAUGACCAGCCUCACUGGGACUGAGACACGGCCCAGACUCCUACGGGAGGCAGCAGUGGGGAAUAUUGGACAAUGGGCGCAAGCCUGAUCCAGCCAUGCCGCGUGGAUGAUGAAGGCCUUAGGGUUGUAAAGUCCUUUUAACGGGGAAGAUAAUGACGGUACCCGUAGAAUAAGCCCGGCUAACUUCGUGCCAGCAGCCGC